UUUUUUCUGAGUUUAAUCUUAGCUCUGCAUGAACGCUAUCUAUUAGCUUUACACAUGUUAGUCGAACGGAUUAUAUAAUCCAUGGCGAAAGGGUGAGUAAUAUUCUUAAAUUUUACCCAAAUGAUAGGUUAAAUACCUUUAAAGAAAUAUUUUCGCAUUUGGAUAAAUUAAGAUUUGGAUUAGGCAGUAGGUGAUUUAAAAGAUUACCUAACCAAUGAUCCAUAAUUGAUCUGAGAGGAUGAUCAAUCACAGUGGCAAUGAAAAAAGGGCCACACAAAAUAAAAUUUGUCAGCAGUGAGGAAUAUUGGAGAAGGAUCGAAAGAUUGCUCCAGCUAAAUAGAAUGCUCAAGCGAAAAAUAAAUAAAGGAUCUUGAAUCCGAUUAAUAUACAUUAUGAGUUAUUUUUAUUUUUUUUUAUCCUGACCAAUCUCGUGCCAGCAGUCGCGGUAAUACGAGAAGGAUAAGCGUUAUGCUUCAUAAUUAGGUGUAAAGUGUAAUUAGAUGGUAAUAUAACAAAGAAAUUAAGGGGUCAAAGACCUAUAUUUGGUUUUCUUUAUUAUUAUAUUACUUGAAUGGUUUAAAGGAAAUUGGAAUUUCAAGUGUAAGGAUGAAAUCUGGACAUAUUUGAAGGAACUCCUAUUGGCUAAUGCAGAUUUCUUAUAUUUCAUUGACAUUCAGAUACGAAAGUGUGGGGAGCAAAUAGGAUUAGAUACCCUUUUAGUCCACACCCUAAACUAUGAAUGUUUUUGGGCACACCCGUAGGGGUGCCCUUUUACCUAUACAGGUUAAACAUUCCACCUGGGGAGUAUUAGGGCAACCUUGAAACCCAAAAGAAAAGAUGGUCUUCCAAAUAAGCAGUGAAGCAUGUUGUUUAAUUAGAUGAUCCACUAAAAAUCUUACCUAUCUUUUGUUAUUCUUUUUACAGGCGUUGCAUGGCUGUGUUCAGUUCUUGUUGUGAAAUAUUUAGUUAAGUCUUAUAAAGAACGCAACCCCCUUAUAUAAUUUUUACUUAUAUCUAUCAAAUAAAUAUUCCGUAGAUAUUUAAAGGGAUUAACACAAGUCCUCAUGACCCUUAUGAGUAGGGCUAUAGACGUGCCACAAAAGUUUAUACAAAAAGUGGCAAAAAAAAAUAAAGAGCUAAUCUUUAAAUUAAACUUUAGUACAGAUGAUAUUCUGAAACUCGAAUAUCUUAAGUUGGAAUUGCUAGUAAUCGUGAAUUAUUAUGUUACGGUGAAAUUUUUUCUGGAAGGUGUACUAAUUGCCCGUCAAGGGCUGAAAGUGAUUGGUUUUGGUGAAUUUAAAAGAUUUUUUGAAAUAAAGUAGCGAUUUUUAUAUUCAUAUACUUCUCUUUCUUUCUUUCUUUUCUUUUUCCCAUAUCACCUUUCACUAUUAGUUCUAAGUCGUAACUGGUUGGUGUAGGGGAACCUGUACCAGAAUUGUAAAAUAA
Molecule: ribosomal RNA, 1446 nt
Organism: Smittium culicis
Lineage: Eukaryota; Fungi; Kickxellomycota; Harpellomycetes; Harpellales; Legeriomycetaceae
Rfam family: Bacterial small subunit ribosomal RNA
Source: Rfam